This 253-nucleotide ribosomal RNA is filed under the name uncultured bacterium. Its description in RNAcentral is "partial 16S ribosomal RNA". It matches the Rfam family "Bacterial small subunit ribosomal RNA", at positions 524 to 776 of the family's 1533-position model. The record is from RNAcentral.
GACGAACCGUCCUAACGUUGUUCGGAAUCACUGGGCUUAAAGGGCGCGUAGGCGGGCUGCCAAGUCCGGGGUGAAAUCUUUCGGCUCAACCGGAAAAUAGCCUUGGAUACUGGCGGUCUCGAGGGAGGCAGGGGCCGUUGGAACUUCCGGUGGAGCGGUGAAAUGCGUUGAUAUCGGAAGGAACGCCGGUGGCGAAAGCGAACGGCUGGACCUCUUCUGACGCUGAGGCGCGAAAGCCAGGGGAGCAAACGGG